UUGAACGCUGGCGGCAUGCCUUACCCAUGCAAGUCGCACGGCAGCACGGGUGCUUGCACCUGGUGGCGAGUGGCGAACGGGUGAGUAAUACAUCGGAACAUGUCCUGUAGUGGGGGAUAGCCCGGCGAAAGCCGGAUUAAUACCGCAUACGAUCCACGGAUGAAAGCGGGGGACCUUCGGGCCUCGCGCUAUAGGGUUGGCCGAUGGCUGAUUAGCUAGUUGGUGGGGUAAAGGCCUACCAAGGCGACGAUCAGUAGCUGGUCUGAGAGGACGACCAGCCACACUGGGACUGAGACACGGCCCAGACUCCUACGGGAGGCAGCAGUGGGGAAUUUUGGACAAUGGGCGAAAGCCUGAUCCAGCAAUGCCGCGUGUGUGAAGAAGGCCUUCGGGUUGUAAAGCACUUUUGUCCGGAAAGAAAUCCUUGACUCUAAUACAGUCGGGGGAUGACGGUACCGGAAGAAUAAGCACCGGCUAACUACGUG
This 485-nucleotide ribosomal RNA is filed under the name uncultured bacterium. RNAcentral describes it as "partial 16S ribosomal RNA". It matches the Rfam family "Bacterial small subunit ribosomal RNA", at positions 30 to 507 of the family's 1533-position model. The record is from RNAcentral.